RNAcentral lists this ribosomal RNA (205 nucleotides) under uncultured bacterium. RNAcentral describes it as "partial 16S ribosomal RNA". It matches the Rfam family "Bacterial small subunit ribosomal RNA", at positions 129 to 334 of the family's 1533-position model. The record is from RNAcentral.
CCCUAAAGUGGGGACAACACGCCGAAAGGUGUGCUAAUACCGCAUGUGGACUAGCAUGGCAUCAUGUGAAGUCCAAAGGAUUUAUUCGCUUUAGGAUGGGCCCGCGGCCUAUCAGCUAGUUGGUGAGGUAACGGCUCACCAAGGCUUCGACGGGUAGCUGGUCUGAGAGGACGAUCAGCCGGAUUGGGACUGAGAUACGGCCCAG